This 67-nucleotide transfer RNA is filed under the name Ophiura albida. RNAcentral describes it as "transfer RNA-Thr". The record is from RNAcentral. Lineage: Eukaryota; Metazoa; Echinodermata; Ophiuroidea; Amphilepidida; Ophiuridae.
GUCUUGGAAGCUUUAAGCGACCUAUUUUGUAAAUAGGUAGAAGUUAUUUAUUAUUAUAACUCAAGAC